CAAGCAAGGCAAGUUCAACUGGGUUCCUUGGCAGCUGAAAUCUACCCGGCCCCUGCAGGGAGCGGUGGAGAAAAAAAGAGUCAAAUGUGUUUUGGAUGAAGGAUUCAUAUAUACUCAACAUGAUGCUCCUUGUGGUUGUACCUUGAGGCCAAAGACACAUUUUUGAGGAAGAUGUUACAGGUCACAUGUGGGGCAUAUUGAUCUUGAUGAGAAAAUUCACUCAGAGAAUAGUCAAGAAAGCGAUAUAGUGGAAACAAAGCUAUGUAUAUGGCAAGGAAGGUAUUCAAGAAAAGGCUCUGCUCCAUUUCAAAAGAGAUUGCCUUGUGCCCCAUUUGUUGGCCUUUGGAUCAAACCGGCAACAGACCUCACAGAUAGAAUUCCACCAUUGGCCAUUCAUAAAGAGGCACUCUUGACGUAAAAGGUCCUCAGCACUUUCUUCCUGAUGGAGAUGAGCUCCACCUGAGUCCGCUCCUACUUGGGACCAUCCAUGAAAGAGUCCAAAGAAAAGUCUCACCAUUCUAAUCAUGAGACCUCCUCUGAAAAUACCUCCUCUUCAAGAACUAUCUAAAAUGUAUUUUCAAGCCCAGCCUGGAACUAGAACAAGAAAAGCAAGCACUAAGAAUGCGGCAGUGGAGAAGGGAAAGCAGAACCUUUGCUUCAGGGAGCUUACCUCCUGGCAGGGAGGAACCGUAGAGCCGAAAGCA
Molecule: long non-coding RNA, 704 nt
Organism: Mustela erminea (ermine)
Lineage: Eukaryota; Metazoa; Chordata; Mammalia; Carnivora; Mustelidae
Exons: 7
Source: RefSeq, a predicted model, not a curated record